GUCUUUGCACAGAUCAUCAGCUUUUAGAGACAGUGUUAUAUGGUGCCAAUAAUAGACUUGCAUGCCAAACAGAACUUGUGUGGUCCCCCACAGGUUCACGUAUUUAAGCACUUCCUUCCCAGUCGACGGUGCAGUUCAGAGAGGUUAAAGAGCUGUUAGGAGGUAGAGCCCGACUGAAUGAAGCAUGCCGCUGGGGAUGGGCUUUGAAAGUUGAUUGCCUUGCCUACUUCUAAUUUACUCCCUUUGCUUUGUGUCUGUGGUUGAAGUUGCCAUCUUGUAGCUUUCCUGCUUCGGCUACCUGGUGCCAUGCCUCCUCUGCCACUAUGGGAUCUCUUUAUUCCCAAACUUGUGUCUGCUCAAGGUCUUCCAGCACAGCAACAGAAAGGUAACCAAUCCAGAUGUCAACUGGAAUCCUUCCCUAGUGAUUUAUUGCACACAGGAGACUGUGAGAUCCUUACCAUUAACAUGGGAAUCACAGUUCCAGCUGCUGGUGAAUUGGGAAGACCUGAAUUGUUGCAAGAGGUCCCAGCGGCAGCAGCGGAAGAAUUCAUGAGAAGGGAUCCGGGGACUGGCUGACUUAUUG
This 583-nucleotide long non-coding RNA is filed under the name Rattus norvegicus (Norway rat). Its description in RNAcentral is "long non-coding RNA NONRATT032386". The record is from RNAcentral. Lineage: Eukaryota; Metazoa; Chordata; Mammalia; Rodentia; Muridae.